RNAcentral lists this unclassified non-coding RNA (1749 nucleotides) under Lingula anatina. Its description in RNAcentral is "transformer-2 protein homolog beta, transcript variant X2". The record is from RNAcentral. Lineage: Eukaryota; Metazoa; Brachiopoda; Lingulata; Lingulida; Lingulidae.
AUGCAACGUUUUACAGACGCGCCAUUUUGCGGUCACCUGCACUGAAGUUCGAUAGUUUUAAUCGUUUUUUCCGAAAGUAACAGUCUUUAUCAUUCCGCUGCAUAAUCAUGAGUGACCAAGAGCGAUCAAAAUCAAGGUCCAAGUCCAGGUCGUUCACCAGAUCCAGGACAAGGUCAAGGACACCUAAGUCGCCUGCCAGAUCCCCCUCUCAUGAUUCCCCCAGCCCUCGAGCCCGCCGCACCAGGAGCAAGUCAUAUUCAAGGUCCAGAUCUAGGUCUCCCAGCUAUCCUCGUCGUCACUACUCACGCUCACGCUCCAGAACAAGGAGUCCAUAUUACAAGAAAUCAUACAAGAGGUCAAGAAGCAGAAGUCGCUCACCAAGUCCAUACAGAAGAGGCUCCGGAGACAGGAGAAGGUACAGAAGUCACAGUCGCUCUCCUAUGUCCUCCAGGAAGAGGCAUGUUGGGAACAGGGAAAACCCAGAGAACAGUAACUGUUUAGGUGUGUUUGGUCUCAGUCUGUACACACAGGAGAGGGACAUCAGGGCAGUGUUUGAGAAGAUUGGACCCCUGACAGAAGUCAACGUGGUACAUGACAGACAGACUGGCAGGUCCCGGGGGUUCUGUUUUGUCUACUUCAAGCACAUGGAAGAUGCCAGGGAGGCCAAAGAGACGUGUAAUGGCACAGAGAUUGACGGGCGCAGAAUCCGUGUAGAUUACUCCAUCACAGAAAGAGCACAUACACCCACACCUGGCAUCUAUCUGGGGAAGCCCACUAGGAAGGGUGACAGGGAUAGGAGGAGUGGUGGGUAUGGAGGUGGCUAUGACCGCCGGGGAUAUGGCUAUGACCGCCGCAGAUCACCCUCUCCAUAUUACAGCCGCAGACCAAGCCGCUACUCCAGGUCAAGGUCAAGAUCAAGGUCAUACUCUCCAAGUAUUGAAGAAAAGAAUUUGAAGUAUUUGAAGAAAGAAACAUGAAGAAAGAAAAAAGAAAUAAGAAAAAUGAAGGGUUGAAGAGGGAUGGAAGAAGUGAAUUUGGAAAAUGGAGGAAAAGAAUAAGAAAAAAGAAAAAUUGGAGAGAAAAUUAAGAAAGGAAGAUCUUGAAAUUAAAUUAUGAAAUUAGAAGAUGUUGAUGAUAAUGUGCUUCGGGUGCCUGUGCUUGGAAAGAAGUGGAUUUUAGAAGAAAACGUAAAAAGGAGAUGGAACAAGAGUAAAUUGGUAAAAGAUUGGUAAAUGGUGCACCAGGAAGAAAGGAUGUAGAUAAAUUCCCAUUUAUGAACACCAGGAUAAAGGCAGCUAGAGGUCCUGUAUUGAGAUGCUGCUAGUCUCUGGUGGAUGGACAGUUGACACUGUCAUUUCAGGAUAAAAGCAGCUAGAGAUGCUGUAUGGGGUGCUGCUAGUCUCUGGUGGAUGGACAGUUGACACUGUCAGCAGUCAUGUAAUCACUUGAACAGAUCCAAACUACUGACAAAAAGAUUUUUCAUCAUGCUGGAAAGAAUUCAGUUUUUAUGGUACCGUAAACAGUGUACUCUCACUUGCAAGUCAUAGGUUGGAGGGGUGGGUGGCUGAGACAAGAAUGUUGGACCACCCCUCCGUUUUUUUUUUUUUAUUUUUUACAGUUGGGAGAUUUUGAAAUGACAGCUGGUUUGUGCUGUGUGAAGUCAUAAAGACAGUAAUGAAAGACCAAAUUUUGAUCAAACAUUGACUGACAUUUUCUGGUACAUUUUAUUUGAAAUAAAAUUAAUACUAA